AUUGAACGCUGGCGGCAUGCUUUACACAUGCAAGUCGAACGGUAACAGCACUUCGGUGGCUGACGAGUGGCGAACGGGUGAGUAAUACAUCGGAACGUGCCUAGUAGUGGGGGAUAACUACUCGAAAGAGUAGCUAAUACCGCAUGAGAUCUAAGGAUGAAAGCAGGGGACCUUCGGGCCUUGCGCUACUAGAGCGGCUGAUGGCAGAUUAGGUAGUUGGUGGGAUAAAAGCUUACCAAGCCGACGAUCUGUAGCUGUUCUGAGAGGACGACCAGCCACACGGGGAGAGUGAGAGGGCGAAGACGCAAGCGGGAGGCAGCAGUGGGGAAUGGAGGAAGAAGGGCGCAGGGUUGAAAAAGCAUUGCGGAGGGAAGGAAGAAGGCCUUCGUGUGGUAGAAGGGUUUUGUAGGGAACGAAAAGACAAGUACAAAUAAAGGAGGGGCAGGAAGGGACGGGAAGAAAAAGCACGGGCUAACUACGAG
Molecule: ribosomal RNA, 482 nt
Filed under: uncultured bacterium
Lineage: Bacteria
Description: partial 16S ribosomal RNA
Rfam family: Bacterial small subunit ribosomal RNA (bases 20-326)
Source: RNAcentral